RNAcentral lists this ribosomal RNA (470 nucleotides) under uncultured Bacillus sp. RNAcentral's name for it is "bacterial SSU rRNA". It matches the Rfam family "Bacterial small subunit ribosomal RNA", at positions 66 to 513 of the family's 1533-position model. The record is from RNAcentral. Lineage: Bacteria; Bacillati; Bacillota; Bacilli; Caryophanales; Bacillaceae.
ACGGGAACUUUCGCUGUAGCAAUACAGUGGAAGUUCUAGUGGCGAACGGGUGCGUAACACGUGGGCAAUCUGCCUUAAAGUGGGGGAUAGCUCGGCGAAAGCCGGAUUAAUACCGCAUGUGAUGAGAGUAGACAUCUAUUCGAAAUCAAAGGUGGCGCAAGCUACCGCUUUUAGAGGAGCCCGCGGCCUAUCAGCUAGUUGGUGAGGUAACGGCUCACCAAGGCGACGAUGCGUAGCCGACCUGAGAGGGUGAUCGGCCACACUGGGACUGAGACACGGCCCAGACUCCUACGGGAGGCAGCAGUAGGGAAUCUUCGGCAAUGGGCGAAAGCCUGACCGAGCAACGCCGCGUGAGCGAUGAAGGCCUUCGGGUCGUAAAGCUCUGUUGUUAGGGAAGAACACGUACGAGAGUAACUGCUCGUACCUUGACGGUACCUAACCAGAAAGCCACGGCUAACUACGUGCCAGCA